AUCGUUAACGAACGAGACCUUAACCUGCUAAAUAGCCCGUAUUGCUUUGGCAGUACGCUGGCUUCUUAGAGGGACUAUCGGCUCAAGCCGAUGGAAGUUUGAGGCAAUAACAGGUCUGUGAUGCCCUUAGAUGUUCUGGGCCGCACGCGCGCUACACUGACAGAGCCAACGAGUUCAUCACCUUGGCCGGAAGGUCUGGGUAAUCUUGUUAAACUCUGUCGUGCUGGGGAUAGGGCAUUGCAAUUAUUGCCCUUCAACGAGGAAUGCCUAGUAAGCGCAUGUCAUCAGCAUGCGUUGAUUACGUCCCUGCCCUUUGUACACACCGCCCGUCGCUAGUACCGAUUGAAUGGAUUC
This 354-nucleotide ribosomal RNA is filed under the name Eukaryota sp. Its description in RNAcentral is "SSU rRNA". It matches the Rfam family "Eukaryotic small subunit ribosomal RNA", at positions 1324 to 1700 of the family's 1831-position model. The record is from RNAcentral.